UACGUAGGGGGCAAGCGUUGUCCGGAAUCAUUGGGCGUAAAGAGCGCGUAGGCGGCCCUGUAAGUCCGCUGUGAAAGUCAAGGGCUCAACCCUUGAAUGCCGGUGGAUACUGCAGGGCUAGAGUCCGGAAGAGGCGAGUGGAAUUCCUGGUGUAGCGGUGAAAUGCGCAGAUAUCGGGAGGAACACCAGUGGCGAAGGCGGCUUUCUGGUCUGCUCUUGACGCUGAGGCGCGAAAGCUAGGGUAGCAAACGGG
This 253-nucleotide ribosomal RNA is filed under the name uncultured bacterium. RNAcentral's name for it is "partial 16S ribosomal RNA". It matches the Rfam family "Bacterial small subunit ribosomal RNA", at positions 524 to 776 of the family's 1533-position model. The record is from RNAcentral.